RNAcentral lists this ribosomal RNA (526 nucleotides) under uncultured bacterium. RNAcentral's name for it is "bacterial SSU rRNA". It matches the Rfam family "Bacterial small subunit ribosomal RNA", at positions 356 to 896 of the family's 1533-position model. The record is from RNAcentral.
GGGGAAUAUUGGACAAUGGAGGAGACUCUGAUCCAGCAAUUCUGUGUGCACGAAGACGGUUUUCGGAUUGUAAAGUGCUUUCAGCAGGGAAGAAGAAAGUGACGGUACCUGCAGAAGAAGCGACGGCUAAAUACGUGCCAGCAGCCGCGGUAAUACGUAGGUGGCAAGCGUUGUCCGGAAUUAUUGGGCGUAAAGCGCGCGCAGGCGGAUUGGUCAGUCUGUCUUAAAAGUUCGGGGCUUAACCCCGUGAUGGGAUGGAAACUGCCAAUCUAGAGUAUCGGAGAGGAAAGUGGAAUUCCUAGUGUAGCGGUGAAAUGCGUAGAUAUUAGGAAGAACACCAGUGGCGAAGGCGACUUUCUGGACGAAAACUGACGCUGAGGCGCGAAAGCCAGGGGAGCGAACGGGAUUAGAUACCCCGGUAGUCCUGGCCGUAAACGAUGGGUACUAGGUGUAGGAGGUAUCGACCCCUUCUGUGCCGGAGUUAACGCAAUAAGUACCCCGCCUGGGGAGUACGACUGCAAGGUUG